RNAcentral lists this unclassified non-coding RNA (376 nucleotides) under soil metagenome. RNAcentral's name for it is "partial contains 5.8S ribosomal RNA, internal transcribed spacer 2, and large subunit ribosomal RNA". The stretch from base 1 to 120 matches the Rfam family "5.8S ribosomal RNA", at positions 35 to 154 of the family's 154-position model. The record is from RNAcentral.
GAUGAAGAACGUAGCGAAAUGCGAUAAGUAAUGUGAAUUGCAGAAUUCAGUGAAUCAUCGAAUCUUUGAACGCAUCUUGCGCUCCUUGGUAUUCUGAGGAGCAUGCCUGUUUGAGUGUCAUUAAAUUCUCAACUACACUGACUUUGAAUUGGUGUGGCUUGGAUUUGGGGGGAAAAUUGUUGUGGGCUUUUUGUAUAGUCUGCUCCCCUGAAAUUGAUUUGCGGUACCUUUGUGGAACUGUCUACAGGUGUGAUAAUUAUCUACAUCUUAGACAUCUGCUGGAAUGCUGCUUUCUAAACCUUACUUGUAUUGACAAUCUUGACCUCAAAUCAGGUAGGACUACCCGCUGAACUUAAGCAUAUCAAUAAGCGGAGGA